CCCGCUGAACUUAAGCAUAUCAAUAAGCGGAGGAAAAGAAACUAACAAGGAUUCCCCUAGUAACGGCGAGUGAAGCGGGAAGAGCUCAAAUUUAAAAUCUGGUUUGCUUUGCAAAUCCGAGUUGUAGUCUGAAGAAACGUUUUCCAUGAAAGCUGAGGCACAAGUCCUUUGGAACAGGGCAUCAUAGAGGGUGAGAAUCCCGUCCAUGGUCUCAAGCCUUUCAUUUUGUGAUACGUUUUCUAAGAGUCAGGUUGUUUGGGAAUGCAGCCUAAAAUGGGUGGUAAAUUUCAUCUAAAGCUAAAUACAGGCACGAGACCGAUAGCGAACAAGUACCGUGAGGGAAAGAUGAAAAGCACUUUGAAAAGAGAGUCAAAAGCACGUGAAGCUGUUAAAAUGGAAACGAUUGAAGUCAGCAGUGUGCCAGAGGUAAUCAGCCGUGUUGGCUUGAGGCCUGCUAGUCGGGACAGCGUAAGCGUCUGGUUGGCAGUACGAAGAGUCGGGCGGUGCACUUGUCUCUGGUACGGGUCAGCAUCGGUUUCCUAGCUGCGGGGAGGGGCUGGCGGAAAGGUAGCUCGCUACGGUGAGUGUUAAGUCUGCUGGUCGAGACGCGGCUGAGACCGAGGAGUCGAAGCGUGCCAUUAUGGAUAGGUCCCCAGGCUGUGCCUGCUUUCAUGUGGGUGAGACUGCACGCAGUUGCGCUUGCAUGGGGGUGGUAAUAGUUUGGCGGAGUCAUACACACGCUACGGAUGCUGACGAAAUGGCUUUAACCGACCCGUCUUGAAACACGG
RNAcentral lists this ribosomal RNA (788 nucleotides) under uncultured fungus. RNAcentral's name for it is "eukaryotic LSU rRNA". It matches the Rfam family "Eukaryotic large subunit ribosomal RNA", at positions 24 to 664 of the family's 3401-position model. The record is from RNAcentral. Lineage: Eukaryota; Fungi.